RNAcentral lists this small RNA (68 nucleotides) under Lutibacter oceani. RNAcentral's name for it is "Flavo-1 RNA". It matches the Rfam family "Flavo-1 RNA". Lineage: Bacteria; Pseudomonadati; Bacteroidota; Flavobacteriia; Flavobacteriales; Flavobacteriaceae. The record is from RNAcentral.
UUGUGUUAGCGAUUGCGGCGGUAUCCUUUUUACAUGGUAAAAAGAUGAAGCCAAAAGCGCGACCGCUU